RNAcentral lists this ribosomal RNA (259 nucleotides) under uncultured prokaryote. RNAcentral describes it as "partial 16S ribosomal RNA". It matches the Rfam family "Bacterial small subunit ribosomal RNA", at positions 524 to 782 of the family's 1533-position model. The record is from RNAcentral.
UACGUAGGUGGCAAGCGUUAUCCGGAAUUAUUGGGCGUAAAGAGCGCGCAGGUGGUUGAUUAAGUCUGAUGUGAAAGCCCACGGCUUAACCGUGGAGGGUCAUUGGAAACUGGUCGACUUGAGUGCAGAAGAGGGAAGUGGAAUUCCAUGUGUAGCGGUGAAAUGCGUAGAGAUAUGGAGGAACACCAGUGGCGAAGGCGGCUUCCUGGUCUGUAACUGACACUGAGGCGCGAAAGCGUGGGGAGCAGACAGGAUUAGA